Long non-coding RNA from Condylura cristata (star-nosed mole), 364 nucleotides. RefSeq lists it as uncharacterized. The record is from RefSeq and is a predicted model, not a curated record. The transcript is spliced from 3 exons. NCBI's taxonomy places the organism in Eukaryota, Metazoa, Chordata, Mammalia, Eulipotyphla, Talpidae.
UUGCAUCUCUUGCCCUCUCUCACUCUGGAAACAGCUCUCCGGACUGUGUGACUCGGCCUUUUCAGUCAGCAGAGCGGGAGCUGAAUCCCUGGGAUCAAGGAAUAUACUGAUGAGAGGAUCACAAAUACCUUCGAGCAGUUCUGUGCUUCCUUUUCUCCAAAGAUCAAAGCAACUAAGAACAUAUACUGUUCCAGAACUGGGCCAUUGAUGGAAAUGUGGUUGGCUAUAGGAUCCCCAAAUAUUGGAGAAUACAUGGGAACAAAUAGCCAUCAGAAAAAAGGAAGGCCUCUGCUACCAGACAAAGGGACUGAGGAGGAAAGGAUAUAAUGGCUUUCUCUCCAAGGGCAAAUUGGAUGGGCUAGCA